This 422-nucleotide ribosomal RNA is filed under the name uncultured bacterium. RNAcentral describes it as "partial 16S ribosomal RNA". It matches the Rfam family "Bacterial small subunit ribosomal RNA", at positions 360 to 774 of the family's 1533-position model. The record is from RNAcentral.
AAUUUUGGACAAUGGGGGAAACCCUGAUCCAGCCAUCACGCGUGUAUGAUGAAGGUCUUCGGGUUGUAAAGCACUUUAAGUUGGGAGGAAGGGCUUUAGGUUAAUACCCUGAAGUUCUGAUGUUACCAACAGAAUAAGCACCGGAUAACUCUGUGCCAGCAGCCGCGGUAAUACAGAGGGUGCACGCGUUCAUCGUUAUUAUGGGGCGUAAAGAGCGCGUAGGUUGUUCAGUAAGAUGGGUGUGAAAUCACCGCGCUUAACCUGGGAACUGCUUUCAUAACUGCUGAGCUAGAGUACGGUAGAGGGUAGUGGAAUUUACUGUGUAGCGGUGAAAUGCGUAGAUAUAGGAAGGAACACCAGUGGCGAAGGCGACUACCUGGACUGAUACUGACACUGAGGUGCGAAAGCGUGGGGAGCAAACA